AUGGCAUCUGGCGGGGUCAGGGGGGUUAACGCCCUUGCCAUGGUCGAGGAAGCUGGCUCAUGGAGUUCCCGGAGGCCGGCCUUAAGAUAUGUGCAGCAGCGAGCGAGUGGAAAGAUAGCUUGUGCGGUCGGGAGACAAUUGAUGUGUAUUAACACCUACCCCCUGCCAGGUGACAACGAUGUGCUUUGCAGUUUACUCCUAGGCAUGGCCACACGAUCUGCAACGGUGCAGUCACCGCAUGGUCCCUCAUUUGCGCAUUUAUAUGACCCAAGUACUGAUGAUGUCGGUCUCAUUCCCUUUUGUUUGGCCUACAUGAGCGCAUCUAUGUGGAUCUCGGCUGCAAAUGAUUACAUAGAAGCUCCUUUAGUAUUUGGUUGUUUAGAGGAUUUAGCUUUUAUUAUUAGGGUAAUACUACGCUACUACGGGAAGAUGCCACAAUCUCCGCAGGCAAGUGGUGGUGGUGAGUCUGUCAUGGAGGGCAGAUUCGACGAUGGAGUGGCUAUCACUGCAGAAGGCAUGCCGCUAGCCACACAGACGACCAUCUGCGCCGCCCUCGGCAAUAAUUAUGUAACCAGCAAGGACCUGCGAUGGCUUGCGUCGUGCAAAGGCACUGGUGGCGGCCUAGAUCCAUGUGUAAUACAUAUGGUAUGUGGUGGUGUUGAUGGUGGGCAGGGAUUGUUUGGAUGCAGCUUGCAGUUGUGCCGCGAGGUGGGACCUAGCCGUGUAGAUGCAGAUGGACAUUGGAGGUACAGUGUUGGCACUGACGACUUGGAUAAAAAUAUUUUUGUAUGCACUCCGGUGCGCAUCAUAUAUCCUCUUGGCCAUGCCGGUCAUAACAACAACUUUCUUCAGGCUGGUGAUGCUCAUAUUGUCAAUCAUUCUCACUGUGGUGCCUGA
RNAcentral lists this ribosomal RNA (897 nucleotides) under Triticum aestivum (bread wheat). Its description in RNAcentral is "partial small subunit ribosomal RNA". The record is from RNAcentral. Lineage: Eukaryota; Viridiplantae; Streptophyta; Magnoliopsida; Poales; Poaceae.